Molecule: long non-coding RNA, 1232 nt
Organism: Mus musculus (house mouse)
Lineage: Eukaryota; Metazoa; Chordata; Mammalia; Rodentia; Muridae
Product: predicted gene, 46229
Exons: 2
Source: RefSeq, a predicted model, not a curated record
UGGCAACACACCAUGAUUAAAAGCAAACCUGGGAGGAAAGGGUUUAUUUUAGCUCGUGAGUUUCAUGAAGGGAAGUCAGGGCAGAGAGCAUGGAGGAGUGUCACUUCCUGGGUUAGUCCCUCGGGCUUGCUCGGCCUGCUUGACCGGCUGCCCAGAGAUGGUGGCUGAGGUUCCCUCUUCUCAGAUGACGGUGACUUGAGCCAAGGUGACCAAAAACCCAAACAACAACAACAACAACAACAACAACAACAACAGCAACAAAUCCCACCACCACAACAAAACAACCAGUACACCCUCUCCGCAUGAAUGGACACAGAUAACUCACAUACACACACACAUACACACACACACACACACACACACACACACACACACUAGACAAAACAAUAUUUAAAACUUGGAAACCAUUUUAAAAGUUGCUGUCGCAGUUGCUAAUUGGAGUGUUAUAAAAUUUCCCUUAGUAGGGGCAGGGGAGUCAGCUCAGUGGUGGCGAGUUCCAGAGCUCAACUCCCAACCCCCACAGUGCAAAAACUGCAGCAGCACAUUUAUUUGCAGUUAGGCAUUUGUUUCUUCUACCUUUAUGUAUCUUCAGGUCCAGUUUUUCUAUUAAAUAUUACAGGAAUGGUCACUUGGCUCCACUUUAAUUGAAAAAUGCCUUUUAACAUCAUCUGCAUUUGGCUAGCCAUCUCAGAUCAUUUGAUUAUGCUUCUUUUACACAGGUUGAAAUGAAAUAUGACUCUGUUCAAGACUCAGACCGAGACAUGCAUGGGAAAUCACACGUAUUCACCUUACUCCCUUCUGCCCACACCGUGUAGGCAUUAAUAGCGAUGCCCCCAUCCCUGUCUGUAUCAGAUGCUCAUUCUGACCUUGGAGAAACAAGUCCGUUCAUUGUCUUCCUCCUUGAAAGAGAAAUUAAAAACUACUAAACACACAUUUCCCCUCUCCCAGUUCCAAGUCUGCUUUCCACCACAUCCUGUCUGGACAUAAAAAUGCAACCUCCGAUUCGAGUUUGUUAUUGGCUGCUGCCUCCACCCUUCAAAACUGCAAGAGUCAAGAUUCUACAACAAGAAUGUCUCUGCCAACUUGCUGCUAACUGGGAAGCAUAGUGAGUCAUUGACAGGGCAAAGGAACAAGACAGGCAAUCUUUACUGCCUAACACAGGGUAUCAACAACGGUCAAAGGGGGAGUUUUCCCUGUCUUUAAAAUAACAUUAAAGAGUCAGAGGACCAGGA